AACGUAGGAGACAAACGUUAUCCGGAGUUACUGGGCGUAAAGGGCGUGCAGGUGGUCAUUUAAGUUCGGCGUGAAAGCGCCUGGCUAAACCGGGCGAGGUCGUCGGAGACUGGAUGGCUAGAGGGUGAUAGAGGCGGGUGGAAUUCCGGGUGUAGUGGUGAAAUGCGUAGAGAUCCGGAGGAACACCAGUGGCGAAGGCGACCCGCUGGGUCACACCUGACACUGAGACGCGACAGCAUGGGGAGCGAACGGGAUUAGAAACCCCAGUAGUCC
Molecule: ribosomal RNA, 273 nt
Filed under: uncultured bacterium
Lineage: Bacteria
Description: partial 16S ribosomal RNA
Rfam family: Bacterial small subunit ribosomal RNA
Source: RNAcentral